Molecule: ribosomal RNA, 401 nt
Filed under: uncultured prokaryote
Description: bacterial SSU rRNA
Rfam family: Bacterial small subunit ribosomal RNA
Source: RNAcentral
UGAGGAAUAUUGCGCAAUGGGGGCAACCCUGACGCAGCAACGCCGCGUGAGCGAUGAAGGCCUUCGGGUCGUAAAGCUCUGUCCUCAAGGAAGAUAAUGACGGUACUUGAGGAGGAAGCCCCGGCUAACUACGUGCCAGCAGCCGCGGUAAUACGUAGGGGGCUAGCGUUAUCCGGAAUUACUGGGCGUAAAGGGUGCGUAGGUGGUUUCUUAAGUCAGAGGUGAAAGGCUACGGCUCAACCGUAGUAAGCCUUUGAAACUGAGAAACUUGAGUGCAGGAGAGGAGAGUAGAAUUCCUAGAGUAGCGGUGAAAUGCGUAGAUAUUAGGAGGAAUACCAGUUGCGAAGGCGGCUCUCUGGACUGUAACUGACACUGAGGCACGAAAGCGUGGGGAGCAAACA